UACGUAGGGUGCGAGCGUUAAUCGGAAUUACUGGGCGUAAAGCGUGCGCAGGCGGUUUGGUAAGACAGAGGUGAAAUCCCCGGGCUCAACCUGGGAAUGGCCUUUGUGACUGCCCGGCUAGAGUGUGUCAGAGGGGGGUAGAAUUCCACGUGUAGCAGUGAAAUGCGUAGAGAUGUGGAGGAAUACCGAUGGCGAAGGCAGCCCCCUGGGAUAACACUGACGCUCAUGCACGAAAGCGUGGGGAGCAAACAGG
Molecule: ribosomal RNA, 253 nt
Filed under: uncultured bacterium
Lineage: Bacteria
Description: partial 16S ribosomal RNA
Rfam family: Bacterial small subunit ribosomal RNA
Source: RNAcentral